GGGUUCAGACACUGCCCUGCCCCCCAGGGAAAGGUGAGCCAACCUUUUGCUCUCAGAAGUCGCCACACCUGCCCACCUGGCCCCUCCUGAACACUUACCCUAUUUUUUCUUGAAGAUGAUCCUCACUGGAAAAAUAAACACCCUGCAGUUAGGAUUUAGUUCUUUGUUCUCGGUGAUAAACCAACCAAAUUUACUGUUUAUAAAAUGAAGAGUGAAGGAAAAACACUUCUGUCAGACUAUUCUCCCUGAGAAACCCAUAGAGACUUAGAAAUAAGUAAAAUGAAAUCAAACCGUAUUAUUUAAACUUGAAAUUGUUGGAUGAGAAGAGAGUUUGUAAAAUCUACUGUUUUAUUUCCUUUCUUUCAGAACAAUAACCAUCCAGAGCUUUUCUGAGUCCGUAGACUGCAGUUUCUUCCCUGUCCUCUGUGUUCCUUCAACUUGAAAAUGCGAGUUAAUAAUGCCUGCCUCCCGGCCUCUUGGGAUUUUCUGUGCGGAUUGAUGAUAAUAAAAUAACACGAAUAAUCUGUGUUUAUAUGGUGCUGUGCAGUUUAUGGAGAAGGCGCUUUCACUUAAUCCUUGCAACAACCCAGUGAGGUGGGUAAUGUGAGAUUCUGCACAUAACUGUGGGUUGAGCGCAUCACACGACAAAAAGCCAGGCUUUGUGCUUCUUGGUGGUGUAAUUGUUAGCAGUGAUGAUAAGGCAGGUCCUUGUGCCUGGUUCUUUCAGGAGGGGGACUGGGGCCCCCUGUCAGUGGCCUGAAUAUGUCUCUGCCUCAGAGUGUUGGCUUCCUAAGCGGCUGGGUGAACCGAGGAGAAGCAAGGUCAGGGCUGAUGAAGGAAGGGCUGGGACUAGGGCUCCAUUGACCCACACCCACGGUCCCUGGGGGAUGCCCUUUUUGGAUCUCCUCUGGAGAGGCUGUGAAUGAUCCAGCUUUAUCCACCCCACCCCCCCCCUCCAAUUUGGCCUCACUCCAGCCCACCUGUCCUGCUCACUGCCACCCACAGGGAGAACCUACUUCUCAGGUGUGUCCAAGGUCAAUGACAUAGGGUAGAAACCCACUACCAGCAUCAGUCCAGAAGGUCAACAGCUUUGCAAUCUCUUCUUCCUGAGCACAGCCACUCAGACUCAGGAGUGAAUCAGAGGGCACAAAAAUUGUCUCUUCCAUCUCUGACUAAACUGCUGAGAGUAAAUGGAUUUUGCAAAUAACCACUUGAGUUUUAGAUUAAAUCUCCAAUCUGGAUUUCUCCUCCUUGGUCAAUACCAGCCCCUCCGUUCUGAAUCACUGUUCUUUUUGACAUCUGCGUCACCUCCUUCAGGAGCCUGUGUCUUCCUCCAAGCUGGUUCCUCUUCUUGAGGCUCCCAUGGCUCCUUGGGUCACCCCACAGCUGUAGUGUCAUCACUGAGUUCUCUUUUACCUCCCCCAGGAAACUAUAAGCUUCUGGAAGGCCAGGACUGUGACCUCUUAUCUUUCAAUUUCAGACACCUUGUACCUGGCAAAAAAUAUUUUUAGAAUGAAUCAGUAAGUUUAAUGAAUUAAUCAAAGCAGCCUAGAGAGGAGUGGAAGGAGAACUGAAUGCACUCCUGGGUUACAGGCCACACCAUGACACAUCCGUGGCAUCCGGAUUUACUAUAUUUGCCAGAAUCAAAGGGAUUCAAAGGAAACCCUCACCCUGGCUUCAUCCUAUUUUUGUACUACAAAAGCAUCAUCCUUCAACCAACAAGCUUGAAAGACUAUUUUAUAGAGGGAUUGGGAGGGUACAUGUGAAUUUUUAAUAAAAUUCUUGUAUAAGGAAAAAAGAUUAAAAUGAUCAUAAAAAUGUUUUGGACAUCUUUGGGCCCAGGAGCACAAAACCAGGCCGUCUCUGCUCCCUGGAACUCCUGGGUUCACGUGGACAGCUGGUCUAUUCAAGUUGAUGUGGCUGUUGAAGAACAUAAGUGGACACCAGACUCUCAGGACACAGUGCAGAGGCUCUGGGAACGACGACGCCCUAUCAACCUGUGCCCAAUAUUAAUGAGUAAUCUCUUGGCUGGAGAGCCAGUGUCUGCUGCUAAGCAUUCCUAGCACUCAUCUUCUAUCGCCUUUCAGUUAUUUUAGACCAAGUACCACUUUGGGUGAUUGAUUGCUAUUUUUACUUUCAUGAGGUUUAGGAGGGUAGGAAGAAAACCACAGCAAAAGAGCGUGGCAGGAAGUUUCUUUGCAAAAGAUCCAUGUACUACCUGUGGGUUAUGGCUUCUUAAAACCCAAAUUCUUAAGUGUUCUGAGGUUAAAAGCUUCCUAUUUGCCACAAAGUUGAAGGAUGAUGAUUUAGCUGGUGUUAUUUUACAAGCACAAUUUUACAUUUGGCCAUCUCUAGAUAAAUGAGUCUUUAAUUUUCACUGGGGAAGGUCAUUAUUAGAGAAGGGGAUUCUGGAUGCUGACAGAACUCAUUUGGGAAAUGAAACUGAGGGAUUAUACUUAAAAUGUCCUAUCUACCUCUUCCCUAGGAAUCUCCUUUGCUGGGGGGCGGAAAGGAGACUGGCUGAGUCAUCCGGAUCUGGAAAUCCUAUAGGGAUGCUUCUAGGCAUUUGAGAAAAAUGGAGGAAAAAAAAUAAAAGCAGGGGCAUAGCCUCUAAACUUUUCUCUUUAUUUCCUCUACCUCCUGUCCUGAUAAACAGAUUGUCUAGAAAGAAACUUCGUAUUCAAUGAAUCUAAUCACAAUAUUGUAUUAAUUUUAUGCUUAUAGCUACCAUUCACUGAACACAAGAGUGAAUUAUCUAUUAUGUGAAUUAUCUAUUAUGUUGCCAUUAUCUGUGUUUUACAGAUGAGGAAACUGUAGCUCAGAGGUGGCUAAGUCAUCUGCUUAGGGUCACACUGCUUGAAACACGGCAGAGCCAGGAUGGCCACUGAGGUCUGUCUGAGGUCACAGACCAUGCUGUAUAGUCUUAUUGUAGGAUUCUUUUCUUCUUUAAAGAAUGAGGGUAGGAUGUCUGCAGGUAUCAAAUAACUCAGUCUAGGUCACAUCACAUUACUGGCACUGCUGUGAUAAGCACAAAGGUCUCUGAUCCAAGGCUCUCAUUCUGCUAUAGCUUUGGAGCAUUGUGACCUGAUGUGGCCACCAUAGAGCCAUGGACCUUUAAUAUUCUGAGAAACUUCCAAUUUCCUAUACUGGUUAACUUUUUACAAAGAAUCCUUUUUGUUCUUCACCUAAUUAAUGUGUUUUUUAUAGAUUUCUCUUUGUUCUUUCAAUAAAUCUACAAUGAAGAAGUCCCUCUUAUUUUUUAGAUCAUGUAUAUCAAUUUCUGGUUGGAAAGUAUGAUCACUCUAAAGAGUUGUCCUACAUGAGGUUUGGGACAAGAGUGCACGUGACAGAUGACUAAGCUACCCUAAGCAUUAUCGGAGUAGGCAGCAUUGAGGUUGCAAGUGGAGCCUGAAAGGCUCUGAAAAGACCGAGCCGGCAUGUUCAGCCCCAUCCAACACUGUCCUCCGGAGAGUCUGAAAUUCUUGGCACGGAGUCCCUUCUUUGGGUUAUGGUGUCAUGUCACCAAUUAAAACAGAUCCACUCUGUUGUUCACUGUCUCCAAGUACCUUCUUUGGUUGCACUGAACCAGACAGCCGGCUGACUGGGAACAGGGGGGUUGAAGGGAUGGGACACAGGGGAGGUAGAUUUCAGUGUAAGAAGCAGAUUCAGGAAAGAAUCAAGGCAGAGGAACCCCUGCCUGGUCAUGGUCAAUCAAACAGAUCAAUGCCCAAUAGGGCAUUUUGAGUUGAGACAGGUAAAUAUUGGAGGAACAGAGCUUGCCAGAAGAAAAGUAAUGAUCCUCUUGCUGGCUAAGAUGCUUUUAGGAAACAUUCAUGGGUAGUUUGGGGAAUUGGUGGAUGACAUAGUACCAAAUGCUCAAGGUAGAGACCUUGAGAUAGGAAAGAGGGUCUGAGACAGAAGGCAGGGGGCUGAAGACAAACCUGUUGGAAGUUCAUGAAAUCUUGACAUUGACCCUAGGUCAUAGCUCCUUGAAUGGGCAGCCUGGUGGCCAUCACACAAGCCCAGGAAGAAUUCAGACCACGUGGUUUCCGGUGUGAGAAUGGCACUGGGCACUGAGACCCAUGGAGUCUGUAAAGGACACUGAACUCCGCGGGGCCCAGCUCCCUCCCUGAUUGCGAAGCAGGAGAGCUGCCACUGGCUCCAGCAGGUCCGUUUCCACUGUGUUUCCCGGCAUUGCCACCGGGUUUCAUGUUUACUCCGAGGGCUGGUGAGCACUUCAGAGAGAAGCAGGUGAAGAAGGAUCAAGACCAUCAUCCUCCAGUGUCCAGAUAUACCACCGCCACAUCCGUCCUUCCCCCAAGGGUUAACCCUCCACACGACUAACCCCGCGUUCCCAUCAGAUGAGUCUUCAUUUAUUCUAGGCUGCGGAUGAAUACGACUCAAACCAGAAAUUAGGUCCCAGGAGUGUCUUGCUGCUAAAUUGGUUGGAUAAGUGGCAAGUGCGGCAAAUCAGCCCUUAGUGAAUUUAGAAUCCGAGAAUCUUGGUGAUUAGCCUUUGAUGGGAGAAGAGAGAGAGGAGGAGGUAGGAAGCCGAGGAACCCAUCCCUGACCUCCCGUGGUCCAGUAAUCAAGGCCAAUCAUAGACUCUGGGUGUGAGGAGAAGGCUUUGCCAAUCAUGGUGUGCAGAAAAUGAUGUUUCGGCAGAGGAAAGCCUCUUGAACACACAUUUCGCCUAUUGUGCGGGCUCAGGGGGAAAUUAUGUAAUAAGGAGAGUGGUUGCUCACAGGAAGUGAAGUGGCGGCCUCUGGGCCUGGCCCCUCCCUAUGAGACUCCAGCGAACAGCCUCCGUUUUCCCAGCUCUGCCCCGGGGCACAGCACCGCUUCCUUCCGUGAGUGAGCGGCCUGGGUUGAUGUUUGCCCCCGUGGACACCAUCUAGGUUUAUUGCCCACCUUUCCUAUGCUGGAGAUGCAUUCAGAAGCAUUUUUUAGAAUCCUAGUUUCAUCACUGUCAAGCCAGAGGCUACUUCUACAGUCCAAAGGGCAUAUGUCUCACUCAGAGUCAAACAGGGCAUAUGGUGGCCUCCUUCAACAGCCCCAGCGGGACAUGCAGCUCCCCACCCGCUAGGGGAGAUCGUACCCCAGAGAUGGCAGAUCCUGGACAGCUCCUUUUCUCCACGCCCACAGCCCACACCCCCCCCCACAUUCCCCCCCCCCCACCCCCUCUCCGGUUUAUUCCAGUGGCUCCCUCCGCCGGCUGGCACAGGAUCAGGAGAUUCCCACCACAUCUAACAGCAGACUGAGUUCAAUAAAGUUCAUUACAGAAGGGUUUUUCCUUGCUGCUCUCUUUGUUUUGCUAAAGAGCACAGCAAUAUAAAUAAAUAUAUGGUGGCAUUUUGGAGUCUAACAUCUUAGGAAAUUAAACACUGUCCUUGUUUUCCAGGUAGCCUAGGCUAUUGCAGACCCCAGUUUAGACAAAGCAAAUUGGUUUAGUUAUAGCAGGUUGACAUGGAACAAAAAAGGAUUGGGUAGCUUUCAUUGCUUCUUUGUUGGUUUAUUUAUUUACUUAAUUUAUUUAUUUUUGGCUGCCCCACUGCUGGCCUAUGGAUUUCCCCUGCCAGGGAUCAGAUCCAAUCUGCAAUUCCCAAAUCCUUAACCCACCAUGGGGAGGGCUGGGGAUCGAACCUCUAUCCCAGCGCUCCAGAGUUGCUGUACCACAGAUCUCAUUGCACUGCAACAGGAACUCUCUUUAUUUCUUUGGAUGGGGAUUUGGACUGAAGUGAGGAGAGACAAUCAGUAAGAAAGAAGCAAAAGAGCUUGGAAUCAGUGCUCAUGGAGGCAGAGACACUGCCAGCAACUCAAUCCCUGGGUCCUCGUCCAGCCCCAAGUGUGGACAGCAGCACUUGCUCCUGAUCAUUCCCCAGACUUUCCAGUGGAGGCCCUUCUUCAGAAGUAGACAUUUGGCCUCCAUCCUUCACCCAUUCACUCCUACAGAGGGGAGCAGUGAAUGGACAAGAACAAGGCAAGAAUG
Molecule: long non-coding RNA, 5989 nt
Filed under: Sus scrofa (pig)
Lineage: Eukaryota; Metazoa; Chordata; Mammalia; Artiodactyla; Suidae
Description: lncRNA (ENSSSCG00000054114.1)
Source: RNAcentral